AUCGCUUCUGAGGCUUUUGGUUAAGAUCAAGUGUAGUGGCUGUUCUUAUCAGUUUAAUAAUUUGGCUGAAUAAUAAUUUAAUAACAAUAUUAACAAUUAACAAUAC
Molecule: small nuclear RNA, 106 nt
Organism: Oryctolagus cuniculus (rabbit)
Lineage: Eukaryota; Metazoa; Chordata; Mammalia; Lagomorpha; Leporidae
Gene: U2
Rfam family: U2 spliceosomal RNA
About the family: U2 is a small nuclear RNA (snRNA) component of the spliceosome (involved in pre-mRNA splicing). Complementary binding between U2 snRNA (in an area lying towards the 5' end but 3' to hairpin I) and the branchpoint sequence (BPS) of the intron results the bulging out of an unpaired adenosine, on the BPS, which initiates a nucleophilic attack at the intronic 5' splice site, thus starting the first of two transesterification reactions that mediate splicing.
Source: Ensembl